UAAGGAAUAUUGGACAAUGGGCGCAAGCCUGAUCCAGCCAUGCCGCGUGUGUGAAGAAGGCCUUCGGGUUGUAAAGCACUUUUGUUGGGGAAGAAAAGCGAUCGGUUAAUACCCGGUUGUUCUGACGGUACCCAAAGAAUAAGCACCGGCUAACUUCGUGCCAGCAACCGCGGUAAUACGAAGGGUGCAAGCGUUACUCGGAAUUACUGGGCGUAAAGCGUGCGUAGGUGGUUCGUUAAGUCUGUCGUGAAAGCCCCGGGCUCAACCUGGGAAUGGCGAUGGAUACUGGCGGGCUAGAGUGCGGUAGAGGAGAGUGGAAUUCCCGGUGUAGCAGUGAAAUGCGUAGAGAUCGGGAGGAACAUCAGUUGCGAAGGCGGCUCUCUGGACCAGCACUGACACUGAGGCACGAAAGCGUGGGGAGCAAA
Molecule: ribosomal RNA, 425 nt
Filed under: uncultured bacterium
Lineage: Bacteria
Description: bacterial SSU rRNA
Rfam family: Bacterial small subunit ribosomal RNA
Source: RNAcentral